UCCUCGGACCACGCACACACUAGCGUGAUAUUAUACAUAUACCAUCCCUUCCAACGUGUUAUUUCAUUCACAAAGCCUCUCUUCAAGUGUUCGGUUGUGUGAUCAGUUUUUCCAGUUGUGGUCGUAUUGUCAACUAUUUAACAUGUAAGUAACUUUAUACAUUUACCUAUCUUAACUUAUCUUUUAUAGCACUCAUCAUAAUUCCCUGCGACAUGACACAGAUGAUAAUGCGUUCGAACUGUUUUCUGGCCUGAAAUCAUUCUUAAUUUUAUCAUGCUGAAAUCCAAAUUUACUCAUUACAUAAUUAACAUAAAACAUAAUUCUACGUAGAACUUUUAGUUUAUUAAAUUUCGGCAUCUUUUUUAUUUGUUUUUAGAUUGUAUUGUAAGUGUUGCAUUUUUUCCCGAAGUCAUUCUUCAUACAGUAUAGCUGGUUAUUUUCGCGGGAUGUACAUUUUCACUUAUUUUCGCGGAUAGAACAAAAUUGCAAAAAUAAAUUACACCAAUUUAAAAGUCACCAUGCAAAGGUAUUGAUAAAAGUUUUGAAUUCGCCAAAACAAUAACAGCCAAAAUAUUUCGUAUAUUACCUUAUUCAAUGAAAAUCGCGAAAUUUUACACCCGCGAAAAUAACCCGCUAUACGGUAUUAUAUUUACCUUUUCAUUUGAACAGUUGAACCAAAUUUCUUUCUUAACUAAGUUCGUGUGUCAGUUUUUGAUCCGUUGAUGAUAGUCGAUAACUCAUUUAUUGACGUCUCUUUUACGAUCUACAUUCAAGACAGCACCUUUGCAAAUACUUUCGUUAUCAUUUGUUGUGAGGAGUUAACCAGUAGAAUGCAUACUAACUUAAAAUUUUCCUCACAAGAUCCUGAACAAAAGUAUAAAUCGUCAUUUACAGUAUGUAUACGACUUCGUUUUUCUUAUAUCUUUUAUUCAAAAAUGAUUAAUUUCCUUUACUUUCAUUUUUAAAACUUUGCAAUGAAACAAUCACUUCAUCACACUUGAAUGAGCGACAUAACAGAACAAAUCACCCUUCCGGAGCAUCUAAGACUGCAUCCGGUAUUUUGUGAGGUUCGUAUUGCUCAGUCUUCAAUUUUCAAUGUUGUGUUUUGUAUACUCUUAUUUGGCUUUACGUGUUUUUUCUUUUUUUUUUUUUUUUUUUUUCCUAUAGUGUUUGAUAGUUUAAGACCCACCAUUUUUUCAUAAAAUGCCCUGUACCAAGUCAAAAAAAGGCCAUUGUUACAUUAUAGUUCGUUUCUGAGUGUGUUACAUUUUGGUGUUGUGUUGCUGUGUGUGUUACAUUUUGGUGUUGUGUUUCUGUUGUGUCGUAUAGUUCUCUUUAUAUUUGAUACGUUUCCCUCAGUUUUAGUUUGUAACCCGGAUUUGUUUUUUCUCUAUUGAUUUGUGAAUUCCGAACAGCGGUAAACUACUGUUGCCUUUAUUUAUGUUCGACUUAUGAGAUUGAAUGCCCCUUUGCUAUUUUUGGCCCCUCUAAAACGAAUGCCGUGUGUCCAAAAUGAUAUCUUGAUUUACCAUCAUCGAAAAUUUCAAUAUCAGAAAGGUACAAAGUCAUUGAAACUUUUGGUGCUUAUAAUCAAUCAAACGAAAAAUAAAAAUAAUAGCAUAAUAACUGUAUCAACUUUUAAUUGGUCAUGUCAUAGGAUUCAGUUUAUUUCUUGCAUUUAUUGCCCGAGGCAAAAAAUUCUAGAAGUAUCUUUUGCACAAAUAACCAGUUUGUCUGAAUGGCUUUUUUAUUUUUUUGUAUAAUUUAUUUUCCUUAUGUUCUAAGUUACGGACCUGCGUUUCAGCAUAUAGGUUGCAUUUCUGUAAAUAUUGACAAAGCAAUUUCCCAUAGGAACUCUUUUUACGGCUCAAACUAUAACACUUUUACUAUGAAGCUUUGAAAAAUAAUCCUAGAAUGGAAAGUCCAUAUGCACUACUGUUUCAUUAGAAUAUAACCAAUCCUCUAUGUUCGACUUUUUCAUCAUGACGGCGGAUAUAUAGAUUUGGGAAGAUGUGGUAUGAGUGCCAAUGAAACCUUUCUCCAUCCAAGUGACAGUUUGUAAAAGGUAAAACAUAUACAAGUAUCAACCCAUGUCCACUCUGUGUUUUUGUGUAUCCAUCUGAUGGUUAAGCCUUUCUCAACUGAUUUCUAUAGUUCGUUUUUUGUGUUGUACUGUUACACCACUGUCCGAGGUCAGAGAGAGGGUUGGAAACGUGCUAACAUGUUUAACCCAGUCAAAUUCUGUAUGUAUGUAUUUUUUGUACAUAAAUAAGGCCGUUUUUUCUUGUUUGAAUUGUUUUACAUUUGUCAUUUCGUGGGCAACAUAGUUGAAUAUGCGGUUAGGGCCUUGCUUAUUGUUGAAGGUCGCACGGUGACUUAUAUUUGUAAAUUUUUGUGUCAUUUGGACUCUCGACAUUUGUCAUUUCGUGGCCUUUUAUAGAUGACUAUGCGGUUUGGGCUUUGGUCAUUGUUGAAGACCGUACAGUGACUUAUAGUUGUUAAUUUUUGUGUCAUAUAGUCUCUUGUUGAGAGUUGUCUCAUUUGCAAUCAUAACACAAUUCUUUUUUAUUUGCAUAGCGGGAGACAAUUACCCUGUUGACGCAUCCGGUCUGACUGCCUUUGGAGAGCAUUCGAUCCACUCAGGGUUUUUAUAACUUAAUUCGUCUAUUCGUAAUAGAAUUACGAUAUUUAAACAAAUGUAAACUACUGUCACAUUUAUCUAGCAUAUCAUAGAACUAAUGUUUUUCUAACGCUAUUAUGCAAUUUAACAUCGUUUACCCUCGUUUCUAGAUAUAAAGAGAAGAAAGUUAGAAUCAUGAUAUUAACAGUAGCAGUUAUUGUAAUCGUCAGCUUACUAGAACACGCGUAUGCUGUACCAUGUAUUGGAUUCCAAAUAUCCAGAUGUGAUUGCACAGGAACAAAAGUCGAUUGUAGCUUCAAAGGUUUAACAGCAAUACCUGAAGGUGUACCUAUAAAUACAACAGAGUU
This 2988-nucleotide long non-coding RNA is filed under the name Mytilus galloprovincialis (Mediterranean mussel). Lineage: Eukaryota; Metazoa; Mollusca; Bivalvia; Mytilida; Mytilidae. The record is from RNAcentral.